Molecule: long non-coding RNA, 226 nt
Organism: Aricia agestis (brown argus)
Lineage: Eukaryota; Metazoa; Arthropoda; Insecta; Lepidoptera; Lycaenidae
Exons: 3
Source: RefSeq, a predicted model, not a curated record
UAAACCAUUUAAAUUACAGUAAAAUACAUUUUAUCAACGAUGUCAAUACUGGAUAUGGCAUACGCCAUCAAAACUGUAGCAAUGUUUUUGCAUGCAAAAUGUGUAUCGAGAAAAUAUUGUCGUCCUUUUUAUCUUACAGUAAUAGCAUAUACUACUUUCUCUUUCACUCAUUUUACGCUUUCAAUGCAUAUCAAUGCAUUAAACACGUCCGACUGUCACCGCGUCC